GAUGAACGCUAGCGGCAGGCCUAAUACAUGCAAGCCAAGGGCCUUUAUAGUAGCAAUACUAUAAAGACCGGCGAACGGGUGCGUAACGCGUAUGCAACCUACCCCAUACAGGAGGAUAGCCCUCGGAAACGAGGAUUAAUACUCCAUAAUAUUGAAGAAAGGCAUCUUUCUUCAAUUAAAGCCGCAAGGCGGUAUGGGAUGGGCGUGCGUCCGAUUAGUUAGUUGGUGAGGUAACGGCUCACCAAGACUAUGAUCGGUAGGGGUUCUGAGAGGAAGA
This 277-nucleotide ribosomal RNA is filed under the name uncultured bacterium. RNAcentral's name for it is "partial 16S ribosomal RNA". It matches the Rfam family "Bacterial small subunit ribosomal RNA", at positions 28 to 303 of the family's 1533-position model. The record is from RNAcentral.